RNAcentral lists this ribosomal RNA (1969 nucleotides) under human gut metagenome. Its description in RNAcentral is "bacterial LSU rRNA". It matches the Rfam family "Bacterial large subunit ribosomal RNA", at positions 1 to 1982 of the family's 2925-position model. The record is from RNAcentral.
GAAAGUAAUGAAGGGCGUACGGUGGAUGCCUAGGCUCUUACAGGCGAUGAAGGACGUGAUAAGCUGCGAAAAGCCGCGGUGAGGCGCAAAUGGCCCUUGACCCGCGGAUCUCCGAAUGGGACAACCCAAUAUCUUGAAGAGAUAUUAUCCCGCCGAUGCGGGAGGCGAACGCGGGGAACUGAAACAUCUUAGUACCCGCAGGAAAAGAAAAUAAAGAAUGAUUCCCCCAGUAGUGGCGAGCGACCGGGGAAGAGCCCAAACCGACGUUGUCUCGGCAUCGUCGGGGUUGUAGGACCGCGCCAUCGCAAGAAAGGCCGUGAGUGGAAGCGACUGGAAAGCCGCGCCAUAGAGGGUGACAGCCCCUUACACGAAGCAGCCCGAAGCGUAGCGGACUCCUGAGUAGCGCGGGACACGAGUAAUCCUGUGUGAAUCCGCCGGGCCCAUCCGGCAAGGCUAAAUACUCGUAAGAGACCGAUAGUGAACCAGUACCGUGAGGGAAAGGUGAAAAGUACCCCUUGCAGGGGAGUGAAAGAGUUCCUGAAACCGUACGCCUACAAGCGGUCGGAGCAUCUUGAAUGAUGUGACGGCGUGCCUUUUGCAUAAUGAACCUACGAGUUGCCGUCACCAGCGAGGUUAAGUGCGAUGACGCACCGAGCCGCAGCGGAAGCGAGUCUUAAAAGGGCGCAAUAGUUGGUGGAGGCAGACGCGAAACCGAGUGAUCUACACUUGUCCAGGAUGAAGUCCCGGUAACACGGGAUGGAGGUCCGCACCAAUAAGCGUUGAAAAGCUUCUGGAUGAGGUGAGUGUAGGAGUGAAAGGCCAAUCAAACUCGGAGAUAGCUCGUACUCCCCGAAAGGCAUUUAGGUGCCGCCUGUGGCGUUCCCGACGUGAGGUAGAGCGACUGAUAGGAUGCGAGGGCUUCACCGCCUAUCAAGUCCUGACAAACUCCGAAUGCACGUCGGCCAAGCCAUGGAGUAAGGGCAUGGGUGCUAAGGUCCGUGCCCGAGAGGAGAAGAAUCCAGACCACCGGCUAAGGUCCCGAAAUACUGGUUAAGUUAGACUAACGCAGUCCGGCCCCCAAGACAGCUAGGAUGUUGGCUUGGAAGCAGCCAUUCAUUCAAAGAGUGCGUAACAGCUCACUAGUCGAGGAGCUGGGCGUGGAUAAUAAUCGGGUAUGAAACCAGUUACCGAAGCCGUGGGAUGCUUAAGCAUCGGUAGGGGAGCAUUGCAUGCGGCUUAGAAGGCGGGGCGCGAGCCCCUCUGGAGCGCAUGGAAACGCAAAUGUAGGUAUAAGUAACGACAAGGGGGGUGGGAUGCCCCCCCGCCGAAAGACCAAGGUUUCCUGAACAACGCUAAUCGGUUCAGGGUCAGUCGGGUCCUAAGCAUAAGCCGUAUGGCGAGGGCGAUGGACGAAACGGUUAAUAUUCCGUUACUGUCUUGGUGUGUGACGCGGCGACGGAGUAGUGACACGGCCGCCUCCUGACGGAAAAGGGGGUUGAAGCGCAAAGGUGUCGAGGAAGGCAGGCAAAUCCACCUUCCGAGCCGAAGCGCGAAAGUACGCCGGGCCCUUUGGGGCAAGGCGAUAGUGCCGGUAAUCAGACUUCCAAGAAAACCCGCUAAACUUCAGCACCAAGUCACCCGUACUCUAAACGGACACACGUGGUCGGGUAGAAUAUACUAAGGCGCUUGGGAGAUUCACGGUUAAGGAACUAGGCAAAUUGACCCCGUACCUUCGGAAUAAGGGGUCCUCGCUUUUGCGAGGCGCAGAGAAUAGGUCCAGGCAACUGUUUAACAAAAACACAGGGCUGUGCAAAUUUGAAAGAAGAAGUAUACAGCCUGACACCUGCCCGGUGCCGGAAGGUUAAGAGGAGAGCUCAUCAGCGAUGAGAAGGUUUGAAUUGAAGCCCCGGUAAACGGCGGCCGUAACUAUAACGGUCCUAAGGUAGCGAAAUUCCUUGUCGGGUAAGUU